RNAcentral lists this unclassified non-coding RNA (235 nucleotides) under Melitaea cinxia (Glanville fritillary). RNAcentral describes it as "misc RNA ENSMCXG00005012448.1". Lineage: Eukaryota; Metazoa; Arthropoda; Insecta; Lepidoptera; Nymphalidae. The record is from RNAcentral.
CCGCUUCCACUGCCCGCACGGACGGUGUAUCGACUCGUCGUUCCUGUGCGACGGCGACGCGGACUGCCCCGACGGCGCCGACGAGGAUGCGUCCCCCACCGGCCCCUGUGGUGACUAUCUUCUCCACCGCCAAAAAAAAAAGCGAUCCUUAAGUGCUCAUAUGAAAGUGUUUUAUUAAAUAUUGUUUCUUAAAAAAAGUGACUGAAACUUUUAUAACUAAUCGUUUAUAUUGACG